UAACUCUGGUUUCCCUUCAAAACGCAUAAAUCUUUCGCCUUUUACUAAAGAUUUCCGUGGAGGGGAACACUCAAAUGAGUCUAUAAUAUUUUUUGAAUGCCCUGUAUUAAUACAGGGCU
Small nuclear RNA from Helicoverpa armigera (cotton bollworm), 119 nucleotides. RefSeq annotates it as U5 spliceosomal RNA. Lineage: Eukaryota; Metazoa; Arthropoda; Insecta; Lepidoptera; Noctuidae. The record is from RefSeq and is a predicted model, not a curated record. The transcript has a single exon.